Molecule: ribosomal RNA, 492 nt
Filed under: uncultured bacterium
Lineage: Bacteria
Description: partial 16S ribosomal RNA
Rfam family: Bacterial small subunit ribosomal RNA
Source: RNAcentral
AGUGAACGCUGGCGGUAGGCCUAACACAUGCAAGUCGAACGGCAGCACAGUAAGAGCUUGCUCUUACGGGUGGCGAGUGGCGGACGGGUGAGGAAUACAUCGGAAUCUACUUUUUCGUGGGGGAUAACGUAGGGAAACUUACGCCAAUACCGCAUACGACCUACGGGUGAAAGCAGGGGAUCUUCGGACCCUGCGCGAUUGAAUGAGCCGAUGUCGGAUUAGCUAGUUGGCGGGGUAAAGGCCCACCAAGGCGACGAUCCGUAGCUGGUCUGAGAGGAUGAUCAGCCACACUGGAACUGAGACACGGUCCAGACUCCUACGGGAGGCAGCAGUGGGGAAUAUUGGACAAUGGGCGCAAGCCUGAUCCAGCCAUACCGCGUGGGUGAAGAAGGCCUUCGGGUUGUAAAGCCCUUUUGUUGGGAAAGAAAAGCAGCAGGUUAAUACCCCGCUGUUCUGACGGUACCCAAAGAAUAAGCACCGGCUAACUUCGUG